Molecule: unclassified non-coding RNA, 275 nt
Filed under: Hevea brasiliensis (rubber tree)
Lineage: Eukaryota; Viridiplantae; Streptophyta; Magnoliopsida; Malpighiales; Euphorbiaceae
Source: RNAcentral
ACCCUCUUUGCAGCUCUGAAAUGACACUCACUUGGAGCUUGCAUAAAUCUUGAAAGCAUGCUAAUUGCAUACAUUGCAUCAGGUCUGGUCACUGAUAAAUAAAGAAGGCAGCCAAUAAGACUUCUAUACACACUUGCAUCAACCUUCUUCCCUGUAUCCAUGAUGCUUAAUUUCUCAUUAGGAACUAGAGGAGUGUUAACUUCUUUACAAUUUUGCAUCCCAAACUUCACCAAGACUUCCAUCAAAUACUUCUUUUAACACAAGAAAAAACCUUG